RNAcentral lists this ribosomal RNA (487 nucleotides) under uncultured bacterium. RNAcentral's name for it is "bacterial SSU rRNA". It matches the Rfam family "Bacterial small subunit ribosomal RNA", at positions 28 to 526 of the family's 1533-position model. The record is from RNAcentral.
GACGAACGCUGGCGGCGUGCUUAACACAUGCAAGUCGAGCGGUAAGGCCCUUCGGGGUACACGAGCGGCGAACGGGUGAGUAACACGUGAGCAAUCUGCCCUCCACAUCGGGAUACCCCCCGGAAACGGGAGCUAAUACCGGAUACGACCACUUCAGGCAUCUGAUGGUGGUGGAAAGUUCCGGCGGUGGAGGAUGAGCUCGCGGCCUAUCAGCUUGUUGGUGGGGUAAUGGCCCACCAAGGCUUCGACGGGUAGCCGGCCUGAGAGGGUGACCGGCCACACUGGGACUGAGACACGGCCCAGACUCCUACGGGAGGCAGCAGUGGGGAAUAUUGGACAAUGGGCGAAAGCCUGAUCCAGCAACGCCGCGUGAGGGAUGACGGCCUUCGGGUUGUAAACCUCUUUCGACAUCGACGAAGCCCUUUUGGGGUGACGGUAGGUGUAGAAGAAGGACCGGCCAACUACGUGCCAGCAGCCGCAGUAAUAC